Molecule: ribosomal RNA, 468 nt
Filed under: uncultured bacterium
Lineage: Bacteria
Description: partial 16S ribosomal RNA
Rfam family: Bacterial small subunit ribosomal RNA
Source: RNAcentral
GACGAACGCUGGCGGCGUGCUUAAUACAUGCAAGUCGAACGGAAAGGCCCUGCUUUUGUGGGGUGCUCGAGUGGCGAACGGGUGAGUAACACGUGUGUAACCUGCCCUUGACGUAGGGAUAACUUCUGGAAACUGGGGCUCAUACCGGAUAGGAGCUCCUGCUGCAUGGUGGGGGUUGGAAAGUUUCGGCGGUUGGUGAUGGACUCGAGGCUUAGCAGCUUGUUGGUGGGCUAGUGGCUUACCAAGGCUUUGACUGGUAGCCAGCCUGAGAGGGUCACCGGCCACACUGGGACUGAGAUACGGCGCAGACUGCUAUGGGAGGCAGCAGGCGGGAAUACUGCACAACGGGCGGACGCCGGAUGCAGCAACGCCGCGUGCGGGAUGACGGCCUUCGGGUUAUAAACCGCUUUCGCCUGUGACGAAGAGGGAGUGACGGUAAUGGGUAAGGAAGCACCGGCUAACUACGUG